AGUGAACGCUGGCGGCAGGCCUAACACAUGCAAGUCGAACGGCAGCACAGUAAGAGCUUGCUCUUACGGGUGGCGAGUGGCGGACGGGUGAGGAAUACAUCGGAAUCUACUUUUUCGUGGGGGAUAACGUAGGGAAACUUACGCUAAUACCGCAUACGACCUACGGGUGAAAGCAGGGGAUCUUCGGACCUUGCGCGAUUGAAUGAGCCGAUGUCGGAUUAGCUAGUUGGCGGGGUAGAGGCCCACCAAGGCGACGAUCCGUAGCUGGUCUGAGAGGAUGAUCAGCCACACUGGAACUGAGACACGGUCCAGACUCCGACGGGAAGCAGCAGUGGGGAAUAUUGGGCAAUGGGGGCGAGCCUGAUCCAGCCAUACCGCGUGAGUGAAGAAGGCCUUCGGGUUGUAAAGCCCUUUUGUUGGGAAAGAAAAGCAGCAGGUUAAUACCCCGCUGUUCUGACGGUACCCAAAGAAUAAGCACCGGCUAACUUCGUG
This 492-nucleotide ribosomal RNA is filed under the name uncultured bacterium. RNAcentral's name for it is "partial 16S ribosomal RNA". It matches the Rfam family "Bacterial small subunit ribosomal RNA", at positions 29 to 507 of the family's 1533-position model. The record is from RNAcentral.